RNAcentral lists this ribosomal RNA (484 nucleotides) under uncultured bacterium. RNAcentral describes it as "partial 16S ribosomal RNA". It matches the Rfam family "Bacterial small subunit ribosomal RNA", at positions 30 to 507 of the family's 1533-position model. The record is from RNAcentral.
AUUGAACGCUGGCGGCAUGCCUAACACAUGCAAGUCGAACGGCAGCGCGGGGGCAACCCUGGCGGCGAGUGGCGGACGGGUGAGGAAUGCAUAGGAAUCUGCCCGGUUGUGGGGGAUAACGUAGGGAAACUUACGCUAAUACCGCAUACAACCUUCGGGUGAAAGUGGGGGACCUUCGGGCCUCACGCGAUCGGAUGAGCCUAUGCCCGAUUAGCUAGUUGGCGGGGUAAGAGCCCACCAAGGCGACGAUCGGUAGCUGGUCUGAGAGGAUGAUCAGCCACACUGGGACUGAGACACGGCCCAGACUCCUACGGGAGGCAGCAGUGGGGAAUAUUGGACAAUGGGCGCAAGCCUGAUCCAGCAAUGCCGCGUGUGUGAAGAAGGCCUUCGGGUUGUAAAGCACUUUUGUUCGGGAAGAAAUCCGUGUGGUUAAUACCCGUACGGGAUGACGGUACCGAAAGAAUAAGCACCGGCUAACUUCGUG